RNAcentral lists this microRNA precursor (97 nucleotides) under Podarcis lilfordi (Lilford's wall lizard). It matches the Rfam family "mir-599 microRNA precursor family". The record is from RNAcentral. Lineage: Eukaryota; Metazoa; Chordata; Lepidosauria; Squamata; Lacertidae.
AAAGACAGAACAUCCAUAGUGUGUUUGAUAAGCUGACAUGGGACAGGAGUUCUUUUUUCGCUGUUGUGUCAGUUUAUCAAACCCAUACGUGGAUAUC